RNAcentral lists this ribosomal RNA (506 nucleotides) under uncultured bacterium. RNAcentral's name for it is "partial 16S ribosomal RNA". It matches the Rfam family "Bacterial small subunit ribosomal RNA", at positions 28 to 523 of the family's 1533-position model. The record is from RNAcentral.
GAUGAACGCUAGCUACAGGCUUAACACAUGCAAGUCGAGGGGUAACGAGAGGAAAGCUUGCUUUCCUUGUCGACGACCGGCGCACGGGUGAGUAACGCGUAUCCAACCUGCCCCCAACUAAGGAAUAACCUUGCGAAAGUAAGACUAAUACCUUAUAAUUUCCUCAGAUGUCAUCUGACGAGGAAUAAGGAUUUAUCGGUUGUGGAUGGGGAUGCGUCUGAUUAGCUUGUUGGCGGGGUAACGGCCCACCAAGGCAACGAUCAGUAGGGGUUCCGAGAGGAAGGGCCCCCACAUUGGAACUGGGACGCGGUCCAAACUCCUACGGGAGGCAGCAGGGAGGAAUAUUGGUCAAUGGGCGAAAGCCUGAACCAGCCAAGUAGCGUGCAGGAUGACGGCCCUAUGGGUUGUAAACUGCUUUUAUACAGGAAUAAAGUUAGCCACGUGUGGUUAUUUGUAGGUACUGUAUGAAUAAGGACCGGCUAAUUCCGUGCCAGCCGCCGCAGUAA